AUAAUCCUUUAGUCCAUGUAUUUCCAUCCAGUCUUUAUUAUUUGUACUAUUUAUAUUGUUACACUUGACUUGUAUUGUAUUUGUAUUAUUGUAUUCUGAUUUUAUUGUUGGUCAUUAUUUCUCCUAGCUGUUGAGAGAGCUGCAGAACACCUGAUUCUGAUAUAUAUAUAUAUAUAUAUGCAGGUUUAUUUUGAAGGCCUCUCUCCUCUCUUCCUGUCUCUCCUCCUCCACCUUUACGCAUCUCUCCACUCUGCAUGUUGCGACAUCCGCACACCGACUGGAACAAUCCUCUGUUUAGUAGUCAGGACCAACAGCACCGAACCCAACAUGGCAAAGAGCGUAAAUUAGUGCUCCGCUGCUCAGAGCUGAAUAGACCAGAGAGACCUCCUUCUCUGUCCUGCUGCUCAGAUAAACGAGGCCAGAGGGCUCAAUGUUCCAGCACCGACAUCCAGAUCAGCUCAUCUCACUGACACUAUCACCAUCUCCACCACAAAUUACGCACCAUAAUUUACCAUAAUUCACCAUCAUCUUCUAUAAAUACACCUUUACAAUUACACCUGCAGCUGCUGGUUCUGCAGACUGAGUCUCCAUCACAUUCCGUUAGAGAAGAGAACCCUCUGAUAGAGAAACACUCCCUGUUCUGUCCUGUCCUGUUUGAUAGAAGCUGAUUAAUGUGCUGUCAGAUGAAACGCUGCUCGGCGGUGUUUUACCUUCCAGAGAUGAUCUGGUGCUCGUCUCGGUGCGUCUGGAUGUCUCUCCUCCUCUUGCUCCUGGUCCUGGUCCUGGUCUCUGGUCUCUGGUCUGGUAACGCGCUCCUUCAGGCUGAGGCGUGGACGCCGUGGCCCCCACCGCCCGGCUGCUUGGAUGCACAUCUAUAAUCCACCCGUCCGGUGCAUGGGGCCAGGAAGCCACAAGGCGAGCCCUCCCUCCCUCCCUCCCUCUGUCCCUCUCUCCUUCCCUCUCUCCCUCCCUCCCUCCUCCGUCCCUCACUCUCUCCCUCCCUCCAUCUCCUCUACCCCCCAUGUGUGUGGAAAUGUGUGCCCGUGCGGUGCCAGUCUCCUGCACAAGCCUACUAAUUUACUACCAGGAGGCUGAGAUAGAAGUUUUUGAAAUGACACCAAAGUGACCCGAAACUACCAACGAGAGAAAAAGUGCAGGGGGCCAGGAAGCCACAAGGCGAGGCCCUCCCUCCCUCCCUCUCUGGGCUGACGAUACAGACCUCCCCCCUCCUCUCCUCUACCCCCCCAUGUGUGUGGAAAUGUGUGCCCGUGCGGUGCCAGUCUCCUGCACAAGCCUACUAAUUUACUACCUGAGAUAGAAGUUUUAAUUUAACAAUAGGCCUAGAUUCCUGGAAUGAAUGGGCACGCACGCAUAUCAGCACAGUCUAACCGAGCCGGGGUGGAACUUUAGUCAAUGAUCCAUCAACACCGAGGAUAAAUAAAUAAAUAAA
Molecule: long non-coding RNA, 1450 nt
Organism: Sebastes umbrosus (honeycomb rockfish)
Lineage: Eukaryota; Metazoa; Chordata; Actinopteri; Perciformes; Sebastidae
Exons: 3
Source: RefSeq, a predicted model, not a curated record